AUGUCGUCGAAGCGCCACUCCGACGUGCUGGGCGGUGGCCGGGAGGCCAAGCGCCAGCGCCAGCGCCGCCACCUUUACUUCGUCGUGAACGACGGGGACGGGUACGCCAUCCGAAAGACAUAUCUAUCGUCGGACUACGACUCCGACGACGACGACGCGCGGCAUGAGGACGGGGAGAUCGAGACGGUGGGCGCCGCGUGGUCGCCACUGCCGCGGCCCAAGCGCGCCGCCCCGGCCUUCGACGUCCGCACGCGGAGCCUCACCCCCGGCCCCCGGCCUGAGACGGGCCCUCUGAAUCCAAUCUACAUGCCCCUCGGCCGCAGCCUCGUCUCCCUGGACUUUGGAUCUGCGGAGUUCCUCGACCCCUCCCCCGCCGGAACGCAGCAACGUCGGUUGUCCACGGUGUCUCGCCGAGCCUCAGUUUGUGCUGACGAAAAGAAAUCGCCGUUCAUGCGGCGAGGCGUUUGUGCGCCGAGAAAAAAGUGUGCUCCUUCUUCUAGCAACAACAGCACCGAGAGCUGCGGCGUCCGCGCCACGUUCACCUUCGACGCCGAUGACGUCGUGUGGAGGAAACACGGAGACUGGAAGUUGCCGUUCAAAGGCCAGGCGGUCUUUGACCCCGCGCUUGAUGCCUGGGUUGGCCUUUCCGGGGACAAGCGCACCCUCGGCCACCUCUGCUCCUGCGACGUGGCGCCCAUCAGCUCCGACGCCAGCAGCACCGUGCAACCCUUGGCCAGUGACGAUGCCGGCGCCAAGCCCACGGCUGGUGGUGUGGCGUCCACCGGCGAUGAUGAUCCCGGCAGGGGCAGCAACCCACCCCCUGCCUGGAAGCUCUGCAAGGAGAAGCUCUUCUGCCAGGACCCAGCCGAGAAACACCAUGGCGCUGCCCUCGUCUACAUGGGGGGCAAAAGUAAAUUCUGCCUCCUGCAAUGCGUCUAUGCUGUAGACGAGAAUGAGAUGGACAGCGACGACGACGAGACCGACCCUGCUUACAGGGCGGAGGAGGACCUACCUCGUCGCCAUGUGCUCCAGCUAACCACGAUCACCCUCAAGUAUGAGGAGAAUGGACAACUGAGGACUGCCAAGCGCCGCCGGGUUCGAUGCUACCAGCUGCUGCCUCAUGCACGUCCGCUCCCCAAUGAUAUCCGAGCCUUCUGGAUAUAA
RNAcentral lists this ribosomal RNA (1164 nucleotides) under Triticum aestivum (bread wheat). Its description in RNAcentral is "partial small subunit ribosomal RNA". The record is from RNAcentral. Lineage: Eukaryota; Viridiplantae; Streptophyta; Magnoliopsida; Poales; Poaceae.